Molecule: ribosomal RNA, 688 nt
Filed under: uncultured bacterium
Lineage: Bacteria
Description: bacterial SSU rRNA
Rfam family: Bacterial small subunit ribosomal RNA
Source: RNAcentral
ACACGUAGGUGACCUGCCCCAAAGAGGGGGAUAACUACUGGAAACGGUAGCUAAUACCCCAUGUGAUCCUUUGGAUUGGAUGACAGAGGAUGAAAGCUCCGGCGCUUUGGGAGGGACCUGCGUCCCAUCAGCUAGUUGGUAGGGUAAUGGCCUACCAAGGCAAAGACGGGUAGGGGGCGUGAGAGCGUGACCCCCCACACUGGCACUGAUACACGGGCCAGACUCCUACGGGAGGCAGCAGUGAGGAAUAUUGCACAAUGGGCGAAAGCCUGAUGCAGCAACGCCGCGUGGAUGAUGAAUGCCUUCGGGUUGUAAAAUCCUUUUCUGGAGGAAGAGUAAGGACGGUACUCCAGGAAUAAGCGUCGGCUAACUACGUGCCAGCAGCCGCGGUAAAACGUAGGACGCGAGCGUUAUCCGGAUUUACUGGGCGUAAAGCGCGUGCAGGCGGUAUGGUAAGUCGGACGUGAAAGCUCCCGGCUCAACUGGGAGAGGUCGUUCGAAACUGCCGUACUUGAGGACGGUAGAGGAGAGUGGAAUUCCGGGUGUAGUGGUGGAAUGCGUAGAUAUCCGGAGGAACACCAGUGGCGAAGGCGGCUCUCUGGGCCGGUCCUGACGCUAAGACGCGAAAGCUAGGGUAGCAAACGGGAUUAGAAACCCCGGUAGUCCUAGCCGUAAACGAUGGAGACUA